Molecule: ribosomal RNA, 468 nt
Filed under: uncultured bacterium
Lineage: Bacteria
Description: partial 16S ribosomal RNA
Rfam family: Bacterial small subunit ribosomal RNA
Source: RNAcentral
GAUGAAAGCUGGCGGCGUGCUUAACACAUGCCAGUCGAACGGAAAGGCCAGUGCUUGCACUGGUACUCGAGUGGCGAACGGGUGAGUAACACGUGGGUGAUCUGCCCUGCACUUCGGGAUAAGCCUGGGAAACUGGGUCUAAUACCGGAUAGGACAAUGGUUUGGAUGCCGUUGUGGAAAGUUUUUUCGGUGUGGGAUGAGCUCGCGGCCUAUCAGCUUGUUGGUGGGGUAAUGGCCUACCAAGGCGUCGACGGGUAGCCGGCCUGAGAGGGUGUACGGCCACAUUGGGACUGAGAUACGGCCCAGACUCCUACGGGAGGCAGCAGUGGGGAAUAUUGCACAAUGGGCGCAAGCCUGAUGCAGCGACGCCGCGUGGGGGAUGACGGCCUUCGGGUUGUAAACUCCUUUCGCUAGGGACGAAGCGUAUUUGUGACGGUACCUGGAGAAGAAGCACCGGCUAACUACGUG